GCCCGGGUGGCGAAAUUGGUAGACGCACUCUUGCGGGCGUGCUGGUUCGAAUCCAUUCCCGGGCACCA
RNAcentral lists this transfer RNA (68 nucleotides) under Parasutterella excrementihominis. RNAcentral describes it as "tRNA-OTHER". It matches the Rfam family "tRNA". Rfam says of the family: Transfer RNA (tRNA) molecules are approximately 80 nucleotides in length. Their secondary structure includes four short double-helical elements and three loops (D, anti-codon, and T loops). Further hydrogen bonds mediate the characteristic L-shaped molecular structure. tRNAs have two regions of fundamental functional importance: the anti-codon, which is responsible for specific mRNA codon recognition, and the 3' end, to which the tRNAs corresponding amino acid is attached (by aminoacyl-tRNA synthetases). tRNAs cope with the degeneracy of the genetic code in two manners: having more than one tRNA (with a specific anti-codon) for a particular amino acid; and 'wobble' base-pairing, i.e. permitting non-standard base-pairing at the 3rd anti-codon position. The record is from RNAcentral. Lineage: Bacteria; Pseudomonadati; Pseudomonadota; Betaproteobacteria; Burkholderiales; Sutterellaceae. RNAcentral also lists the same sequence under 1 other name.